AUUUAUAAUAAGUUAUUGUUAUUGAUUUGUGUAAGUUUUAUUUAAAUAAAGAUAUUUUUGUUUUAUUAUGUUUAAAGAAAAGAUUUAUAUUAUGAUAGAAGAUUAGUAUUGUAAAAGAAUCUAUAAAAAUUAAAAAAGGAAAAUUUAUUUUGUACCUUGUGUAUCAGGGUUAAUUAAUUAAGGUUUAAGAAGGUUAAUAAUCUCGAAUUUAAAGGAGCUAGAUUUUUAUUUAUUUUAUUGUGGAAUAAAUAUUUUUAAUGAAAAUUUGGAAAUGAAAUGUUAUUCGUAUUUAAAGUUAUCUAGUUUUUGAAGAAAAAAAUUUAAUUUUUUUUAAAAAAUAAUUUAAGUUUUAUUUAUUAAUUUUAUGUUAUUUUUAAAAAGAUGCAUUUAGGGAUGAGCUUGAAUGCAAAUUAUUAAAAUUUAUGUUAAUUAAUUUUAUUUUUAGGAUUAGAAGUGUUUAAUGUUAAAAAAAUGUUAUAAUUGGUAUUAAAGUGAAAUAUAAUUUAUAUGGAGUUUAAUUUUUUUAUUUAAAAGAUUAUUUUAAUAUUUUAAGUUUAGUUAAAAUGAUUAAAUUAGUAUAAAAAUUUAUUUUUUGAGUUAAUUUAAAGGUAAACUAAAGGAAUUCGGCAAAUAUAUUUUUCACCUGUUUAUUAAAAACAUGUCUUUUUGAUUAUAAUUUUAAGUCAGCCCUGCCCACUGAAAUUUAAAUGGCCGCGGUAAUUUGACCGUGCAAAGGUAGCAUAAUCAUUAGUUUUUUAAUUGAAAGCUGGAAUGAAGGGGUUAAUGAAAAAAUUACUGUCUCUAGUUUAAUUAAUUAAAAUUUUAUUUUUAAGUAAAAAAGCUUAAAUUUAAUUAAAAGACGAUAAGACCCUUUAGAAUUUGAUAUUUAAUUGAAAUAUUUUUAGUAGAAUUAUAAAUAAGGUAUUUUAUUUGAGUAUUUAAUUGGGGUGAUUAAAAAAUUGAAUAAACUUUUUUUAGAAUAUAAACAAUAAUUAUUGAGUUCUUGAUCCAUUAAUUAUGAUUAUAAGAAUAAAUUACCUAAGGGAUAACAGCGUUAUUUUUUUAUAGAGUUCAAAUCGAAAAAAAAGUUUGCGACCUCGAUGUUGGAUUAAAAUUAAAUUUUGAAGCAGAAGUUAAAAAUUUAGGUCUGUUCGACCUUUGAAAUUUUACAUGAUCUGAGUUUAAACCGGUGUGAGCCAGGUUGGUUUCUAUCUUUAAUUAAUUUUUAUAUUUUAGUACGAAAGGAUUUAAUAUAAGAUUAAAAAUUUAAUUAUAU
Molecule: ribosomal RNA, 1276 nt
Filed under: Coleoptera sp. ACP-2013
Lineage: Eukaryota; Metazoa; Arthropoda; Insecta; Coleoptera
Description: 16S ribosomal RNA
Rfam family: Archaeal large subunit ribosomal RNA (bases 1045-1203)
Source: RNAcentral